This is a non-coding RNA of Drosophila virilis, 1241 nucleotides long. NCBI's taxonomy places the organism in Eukaryota, Metazoa, Arthropoda, Insecta, Diptera, Drosophilidae. The record is from RefSeq and is a predicted model, not a curated record.
GUGCCGACACACACCCAUAAUGUUUUUUUGUGCUUCGUGAAAAUGUGCCCUAGGCACACCCACACAGACGCGCACACAUAGACACAUAUACAAGCAACGUUUUAUUUUAUUCUUAUGCGGCCGCAGUAUUUUCGGUCUAGAAUAUAAAUUAAAUUCCACAACAUCAGCAGAAGAAUAUGGUACAAUAACAAGAAAAAAGAACAGAUUCUUUUUAUCCUCAGCCCCUCGUCAAAUGCCCGUCUGUCUACCCACACUUUGGCCAAGAUUUUACUCUGCAUUAAUAUGAGGCGUCGUCUUGGGUUGGGGUUGGCUUGGAUUGUGCAUCCGCGGGGAGGUAAAGGCUGCUCGGCUGGCCGCCUAUAUCAAUGGCCGCCACUUGCCGCGCGAGAUUUGUGCUCUCCCUCCAACCAACGGAGCGAGCGAAAAGGAUGCACAGUGUGUGCGACCUGAGUGGCGUGUAAGAAAUAUGUACGUGUGCAUGGAUAAGCCUCAACAGAAGUACAGUGGUUGUUAAUGCUUCAAUUCGAAUUAGGUAUUUAAUUUUCGGGUCUAGCUGUUAAGCCAUAAAGGUCAGCUCCCUGGUUCGUGGUGAUUGCAAAUAUUCACAGUUUUAUCCUAUGUUUCUGCUACAGUUAUUGUAUGAAAUUAUUGCAGCCUUUAAAAUGUUGAUUAAAAUAAAUCAAAGUUACUUCAAAUUCGCAGCAGCACGACUACACAACUGUGUCAAGUUUAAUCAUUGAACAGCUGGAAAUACUUGCUCGACCUCUUGUCAUUAAAGGGGCCAAUUGGUAAUACCUUCUGCUGCUCAUUGGGCACAGAAGCUAAGAAGCAACCCUUUGCACAAGGCAGUCCGGUCUGUCCGCCUCUUAUGACAUUUGCAGGCCCUCUAAUUGCGCAUCUCUAAUGUAAUUAAGGCGCCCAAGAGCCCUCCUAAGGGGGUACGCCUGGCUGAUGCUAAUUUCGCUGCAAAAUUACUGAAAUUAAUUUAAUUCCGCUUUGCAAUUGGCAGCUCGAAAUGCUGAUUAAAAUUUCAAAUGAGCUCCGAAAAAAAAACAUGAAUGAAACGAAUACUUUUUGGAACCGCAGCCGACCAAAGUGUAAUUUACCAGCUUUGAUCGAGCCAGAGGUAUCCAUAUUUGUAGUUACCUAAUACAUACAAAAGGCCUAUUGUUUUUAAAUUAACUAUUGUACGUAUACAUUAAUAAAUUUUAAAUACAAAUCUGAAAGUCAACAGCGCAUAA